AUUGAACGCUGGCGGCAGGCCUAACACAUGCAAGUCGAACGAGUGGCGGACGGGUGAGUAAUGUCUGGGAAACUUCCUGAUGGAGGGGGAUCACUAAUUGAAACGGUCUAUAAUACCGCAUACCCUAGGAUUUGCCCAGAUGGGAUUCGCUAGUAGGUGGGUUAAAGGCUCACCUAGGCGACGAUCCCUAGCUGGUCUUGGAUGAUGACCAGCAACACUGGAACGGAGCAACGGUCAAGACUCCUACGGGGGGAAGCAGUGGGUAAUAUGGCACAAGGGGCGCAAGCCUGAUGCAGCCAUGCCGCGUGUAUGAAGAAGGCCUUCGGGUGGUAAAGUACUUUCAGCGGGGAGGCGUUACCCAAAGAAGAAGCACCGGCUAACUCCGUGCCAGCAGCCGCGGUAAUAC
Molecule: ribosomal RNA, 406 nt
Filed under: uncultured bacterium
Lineage: Bacteria
Description: partial 16S ribosomal RNA
Rfam family: Bacterial small subunit ribosomal RNA
Source: RNAcentral